Molecule: long non-coding RNA, 168 nt
Organism: Brachypodium distachyon (stiff brome)
Lineage: Eukaryota; Viridiplantae; Streptophyta; Magnoliopsida; Poales; Poaceae
Exons: 3
Source: RefSeq, a predicted model, not a curated record
AUGAAAUGCAUCAGUAGGGGAGCGUUCCGCCUUAGAGGGAAGCAACCGCGAAAGCGGGGGUCGACGAAGCGGAAGCGAGAAUGUCGGCUUGAGUAACGAAAACAUUGGUGAGAAUCCAGUGCCGCGAAAACCCAAGGUUUCCUCCGCAAGGUGAUCGGAAGAGCCUCG